CAGUAGCCGCGGUAAUACGUAGGGUGCAAGCGUUAAUCGGAAUUACUGGGCGUAAAGCGUGCGCAGGCGGUUAUAUAAGUCGGAUGUGAAAUCCCCGGGCUCAACCUGGGAACUGCAUUUGAGACUGUAUGGCUAGAGUGUGUCAGAGGGGGGUAGAAUUCCACGUGUAGCAGUGAAAUGCGUAGAUAUGUGGAGGAAUACCGAUGGCGAAGGCAGCCCCCUGGGAUAACACUGACGCUCAUGCACGAAAGCGUGGGGAGCAAACAGGAUUAGAUACCCCGGUAGUCCCUGUCUCUUAUAC
This 301-nucleotide ribosomal RNA is filed under the name uncultured bacterium. RNAcentral's name for it is "partial 16S ribosomal RNA". It matches the Rfam family "Bacterial small subunit ribosomal RNA", at positions 509 to 807 of the family's 1533-position model. The record is from RNAcentral.